GCCCACAAUCUAGCCCCCACCCAAUCUAUGAAAACCUAAUACCUUCUACUACCCACUAAAACAUUCUUACAUUAUAGUAAAGGAGAUUGAAAUUUUUUCAAGAGCUAUACUUUAGUACCGCAAGGGAAAGAUGAAAUAAAAAUGAAACACACCCCAAGCACAAAAAAGUAAAGAUUAACCCUUGUACCUUUUGCAUCAUGGUUUAACUAGUCUAAUCAAGCAAAAAGACCUAAAGUUUGACCCCCCGAAACUAAGCGAGCUACUCCAAGGCAGCCUCAAGAGCCAACCCGUCUCUGUAGCAAAAGAGUGGGAAGACCUUCGAGUAGGGGUGACAGACCUAACGAGCUUAGUGAUAGCUGGUUGUUUGAGAAAAGGAUUUAAGUCCAGCCUAAAAUUAUUUCUAUAUUCCUACAUAUACAUUCAAUUUUAGAGUAAUUCAAGCAGGGUACAGCCCGCUUGAAACAGGAUACAACCUAAGCAUGAGGGUAACAUCUAUUUUCAGUGAUUAAGUAGGCCUAAAAGCAGCCACCUUUAAAAAAGCGUCAUAGCUUUACCACACAAAAAAUGAUCCCAAACACUUCUAUUAACCCCACCCCCAUAUCAAACAAUUCUAUAUAACUAUAGAAGCUUUUAUGUUAAAACUAGUAACAAGAAUAAAAAUUCUCCAUAAUGCAAGCGUAAAUCAGACAGGACCCACCACUGAUAAUUAACACCCAUGAGCCUGCAGUAGCAACUAAACAAGAAAACUCUCCUCUAUCCAAUGUUAACCUUACACAAGAGCAUUUUUUGAAAGAUUUGAAGAGAAAGAAGGAACUCGGCAAAACUUAACCCCGCCUGUUUACCAAAAACAUCGCCUCUUGACGAACCAUAAGAGGUCCAGCCUGCCCAGUGACUCUGUUCAACGGCCGCGGUAUCCUAACCGUGCGAAGGUAGCGUAAUCACUUGUUCUUUAAAUGAGGACUAGUAUGAAUGGCACCACGAGGGUUACACUGUCUCCUUCCUCUAAUCAGUGAAACUAAUCUCCCCGUGAAGAAGCGGGGAUAAAACUAUAAGACGAGAAGACCCUAUGGAGCUUUAAACACAGUAACAAUUGCCCUGACCCUAUCUCCAGCCCCCGGGCACAAUCAUUUACUCAGGCACCUUGAUUACAAGUUUUAGGUUGGGGUGACCGCGGAGCAAAAAAUAACCUCCACAGUGAAAAAGGACUUUCCCCUAAACCCAGGGCCACAGCCCCAAGAAUCAAAAAAUUGACACCCGUUGACCCAUUUUUUAUGACCAACGAACCAAGUUACCCUAGGGAUAACAGCGCAAUCCACUUCAAGAGCUCCUAUCGACAAGUGGGUUUACGACCUCGAUGUUGGAUCAGGGUAUCCCAGUGGUGCAGCCGCUGCUAAAGGUUCGUUUGUUCAACGAUUAAAACC
RNAcentral lists this ribosomal RNA (1421 nucleotides) under Leptodactylus podicipinus (pointedbelly frog). RNAcentral's name for it is "partial 16S ribosomal RNA". It matches the Rfam family "Bacterial large subunit ribosomal RNA", at positions 260 to 2595 of the family's 2925-position model. The record is from RNAcentral. Lineage: Eukaryota; Metazoa; Chordata; Amphibia; Anura; Leptodactylidae.